UAUUGCCUUUGCUGAAGCUAUAACAAACCCAGGAGUAACUGAGGUUCACCCAAGAUUUCAGAUCCACCCAACCAAAGCAGGAUAUAUGUAUGAGUCAGCAUUCUCAGAUCUGUUUUAAGUCAAAUCAUUUCUUAGAUGGGGAUUUCAUUCCAUUCAAUUCAAGCAUUUUUUUAAUUUGGUAAAGUGCAAGGCACUGUGCUAAGGAAGAGAGAGGCACACUCUACUGAGCCACUGUAAUUGUCCAGGACACUAACAAUCUAAUAGGGAAAUAUACGUACAUAAGACAUACUUAAAUAAGUAUGAUGCAAAAAAGACUUGUAAGUAAGACAAAAUAAACAAAAAUGUUCUAAGAAACACAAAGGAACAGAUUAAAUUAGGCUGGGAAGGUAGCACUGGAUUUGCUCCUGUAAGAGUCGAUAGGAUUGCAAGAGAAGAGAGAAGACAUGGGCUGUUGACAUGGGCUUGAUUCAAGCUGCUCCCAGCUGUAGAACCUCUCUCCUGUUUCCACUGUGUCCCUUUCAGUUUUCUCUUCCUGGGCUGCUAAGUUUCUGGGCACGCCCAGAGGAUCUUCAGACUUCACAAACCGGUCGUGCAGAGCCUGGCAUUUCAGUAAGAAACAAAAUGCUGAGUAACAACAACAUGAAGUCAAUCUGUCUCUUGCCAAGACCUGGGAGGCCUGGGUGGUUUCCCAAUCUUAAAGAGGCAGAAGGAUAUUAAAGCCAGCUCCCUGGGGGAAAACCUGGAUGGAUUUACCAACACAGAAAACGCUGUGCACUAAUCCAAUUCGGUUUCCACCUCUGGAUGGUUGAAUCCGCAGAUGCAGAACCAUGAAUACGGAGGACCAACUGUAUUAAAAAGGAUAUUGACAUGAACACCAGCAUAAAACAAGGCAUCUCUGAAUGUUUUUCAACCCAGAAGAGUGUCUUUCUACCAUGGCCAUAGCGUGUGCAUCUUUCUACAUCUGUCCUCAAAUUCCUGGCAACAUGAUUGUGCUCUGAGUAAAAUCCCCUUAGUGUGUUGUGUUGAGCUUACCCAUAUGUGUAUCUGUGGGACUUUCUGUUUAUUUAAAAUUUGCCUUAAGACCUUAAAGAACUCUGAGCAACAGUGCCUGAGGAGCUCAUUUCCUAACCCAAGGAGCAUGGCAAACCAACCGGGUUAUGAAAGAGCAGUGGAGCGUCCCAGACUGUCCCUGUUGUUUGGGGAAGUGCUCUCUGAGGGUCACAGUCCUGGGAUGGCAGCCAGAUGAGAAACAUAAGCUCUGAAUUUCGAAGCAAAGUUUUUAUUUCUUUCAAAACAACUAUCACUAUAUGACAUAAGCUUAAUUUCAAGGCCAUUUGGGCCUUGCUGGCAAUAGUAUAAUUCCUGGAUGAAAUAAGGUUUGGAGAAAUUUGAAAAAUCUAAUAUAUUAUAUGACCUUGGACAAAUCACUUAACCACACCAAACUGUUGUUAUUUUAUGAAUAACAAUAAUAAUUAUAUUAGAUUAUUAACAUAGUAAUCCCCCCACCAAAGUAUUGCAAUACUAUUAAAUACAUGUAAGAAAAAUAACUACUUAUCAUCCUCUAUUUGGUCAAAGAAUUUUUGUCACUUACUAAGAUGGUUUUAGCAAGACUUUUAAUUGAGGGGUCAGAAAGUUACUCACACUAAUGAGGGAACAGAACUCUAUAAUCUGUAAUAUCCUAGCUGGCUACAGUGUUCUACCACUCUAGAUCUUACUGUCUCUAGACUCCUUUUUUUUCUUCCUUGGGUUGUUCCUUAAUUCUGGGCAUUUUACUGUUCAUUGUCUCUCCCUCUAAAGGUUGGCAAAGGAAAGUAACAGCAAUUCUGAUAAACAGAGCAAAUAUAAAUGGAAAUGCACCAAAGCCAGCUCUGUUAUAUUCAGUAGAAAAUCAUAUAUUGAUCAAAUGGCACUAUAACUUGGGAGGCAAAAUGGAAUGGUAGCUAGAACAUAGGCUCUGGAGUCCAGAGUGGGAAAUUCAUGCCUUGAAAAUUAUUCUGUACUGGCCACUUGACCCUUAACAAAUCAUGCAACCUCAGAGACUUCGUCUAAAAACUUUGGGUGGUAAUAGUACAUACUGUCUAAGAUUUGGGAGAAGUAAAUUAUAUUACCCAUAUAGUGGGUGUGAAAGAAUUUCAAUCUAAAAUAGAAAGGAAGGAUAUAAAAUGAAGAAUCUCACGCAUUUGCCCUCAGGAAGACAAAAUUUAGGGACUAAGAGACCGAUUUCCCACAAAUGCCUGACUUACAGAAAACGGAUAGUGUCAGAAUUUUCUCAGAUGGUGGGGGUGGGGUGGGUGUUUGGUUGAUCAGAGGUUGUCUGUUACCAAUCUCGGGAAAUUCUGCUACAGGUAUGAAUAGAAGGUGACCCAGGUCAGGUUGAUCUAACAGACUGGGCUGACCUGAGCUUUGUAUGUGUGACUGGACUGACGGUGUCUGCUCGAGAAGUUUUCAAGUCUGGUUUCUGUUUGUUUUUGAUUCUGACUGACUAUAACUGAACUCUCCCCUCUUUACAUGCCCUGCCCAUAAAUACAACCUACGCCAGACCCUCAACAGACUCGCCUAUAGCUUGCUACAGUUUGCUUGUCUUGAAUUGCAAUUCCUCUGACUACUCCUGAAUAAACUCUUUUUUUUUGACCUUGCCUCAGUUUACCUCUUUAUUUAGGUCAGCAUGGUCAAUGUCCUAAAUAUUACCUAUUACUAUUAAGUGAUACUAUUAUGAGAUAUCUUUAUGUAUCAACAACAAAAGAAUUCCCCUAAUUUGAAGGUCCAUUUAGUUCCAGCAAUACCUGAUCCCAUGGAAAUCUAGCACAAUGGGACACCCCUGGAAUGACUAUAACAGGAUUAAGUCUGUUUCCAGGUCGUUUCAGUAGGAAACUUGAGACUUCAUUAUCUGUUUGUCAAUGUGUUAUUUAAUCCAUAGUUCCCUCACAGUCCCUAACUACUUUUCUUUUGUCCUCUUCCGGUGUCUUUAACAGCCCUGUGACUUUGAGGCUUUGCUCCCUUCCCGAUUCACAGUUCAUUUUCAUCAGCACUCCUGUUUCCUGUUUUGCCCCCCCGUCUAGGUUGUUUUGCACCUCUAACUCCUUCCCCUUCCUCUUCAGAGGACAUCAGCAACAUUUCCACUAGGGAUGGGCAAUGCCACCAGCUUCUCUUGCUGUAGCUUUUCCUCUUCUUUCUUUUUCUUUUUUUAACCUCCUUUGAACCUUCCUAAGCUUCCUGUAAUAACUACAUCUCUGUUUCAGCUAUUUCAGUACUUCUGGGGCUUUAGAGUUUGAUCUGGAUUCACGUCUUCUCGCCGAAACCAUCUCAAACAAGUAGUUUGAGGUUUUUGCUGGAAGGUAAUUUGAAUUUGUUUAUAUGGCCGCCAACUCCCAAUUUAGAUGUCAUGAGACCUCUGGAGUGGAGGAGUGACCUUCCCAGAUUACCUUCCUCUUAUUAUCACUCAGUGGCAUUAUUAGUAGGGACGGACUGUUUUGUUCAUGACUCAACUUCGCUUCUUAUAUAAGUAAUUACUGCUAAAUCAGGAGAAUUAGGAAAGACUUUCAGUUCGGGAGGGUUGAUGAAGAGUUAACUAAACUCAACCAUAGAUAGAUAUGGCUAUAUUUCUAUGAUUUGAUAUACCUUCAUCACUAUGAAUGAUCACAUACACAUACAUGAGUGCACGCACUUAUACAAAAACACACAAUUACUCCUUUGUAAUAUUCCGGCAUCUUUUCUGCAAGGAAGACACAAAUUCAAACUGAAUAUGACAGAAUAACUCAGCUGCCAUGGCAGAUGACCAAUGACUUCUUCUGCUUCUUUUCUUUUUUUUUUUUUUUUUAAUUUUAUUUUUGGUCAUCACUACUUAGGUGAAGAGCAAAAAAGCCCAAAAUAUUUCUCAGGCUGCUGUCAAAUGAUUGAGGUCUGAGAUGUACAUUUAUUCAUUCAACAAAUAUUCACUGAGCACCAACUAUGUUCCAGGUGCUCAUAGCACAGCUACUUACAAAACAGACCAGACCCCCGCCAUCCAGAACCUUGUGUUCGGGUGGGUAAUCAUCAUUCAUUAUCAGCCACCCUGCUCAUUUGAUCAAAAUCCAAUGUUGUUUCAGAUUCCAAGAGGAGAAGGUUGAGGCGAGAACAGAGAUGGAGUUUAUCACGUGCCCCAUCGUGUGGUUUCCUAACAGGCCAAAUGCAACACAGACGGAGGCCAGAGGUCCCAGAGCUACCAGCUGCCAACUUCACCAUGCACAGAGGAGAUGGAGGGGGCCCAGCUGCAGAGGGAGAGGAUGACAGAGACACAGGAGCCAGGAGAGGAGGGGAAGGAGAGGAGAACAGCAAGAUAGGGGAGGGGAGGAAGAGACGAAGAAAGAAAGAAGAGAAGAAAUUUAAUCUAACCUCAAUGGAGCUAUGAUUGAAGCCAGCUGAUUCCUGAACUUCCUAGAUACUCAACAAAUUCCUUCUCUGUUCAAGCCAGUUUAAAUGAGGGACCUGCAACUGAGAGAGUCCCACCUAAGACAGUAGCUGAUGUUCCAUCGUUCAUUCAUUCAACAAAUGUCUAUCGCGUGCCUCCUAUAUGCCAGGUGCUAAACGUGUAUGGGGGGGGUGCACACGGUCCUUGCCCCUUUGCCCUCACAGAGCUUAUACCCUGGCUGGGGAAAUAAACAUUACACACAUUCCAUUUGAAUAUCUAUAUUCAAUUUUUCAUUUUAUGGAAGAAAAGAAUAGGGUACUGAGAAAUAGCACUAGAGGAGAAUGAGUUGAAAGUCUACAGUGUUGUUAGAAUAAUACUUAAAAUGGCAUGCGUGGAUUGAGUUUUGGCAGUGCAGAUGAGACAGCUUGGUGGAAAUAGAGAAAAAUUCAUUCAUAGUUUGGAGCCCAGGAGCCUCAUCCUAGCUCCAUCAAAAUCUGCCAUUUUUGAUUUUUUUCAUCAGUAUUUUAUAGUUUUCUGAGUACAGGUAUUUUACCUCCUUAGGUAGCUUUAUU
Long non-coding RNA from Aethalodelphis obliquidens (Pacific white-sided dolphin), 4959 nucleotides. RefSeq lists it as uncharacterized. Lineage: Eukaryota; Metazoa; Chordata; Mammalia; Artiodactyla; Delphinidae. The transcript has 3 exons. The record is from RefSeq and is a predicted model, not a curated record.